UACGUAGGUGGCGAGCGUUAUUCGGAUUUACUGGGCGUAAAGGGUCCGCAGGGGGUUUGCCAAGUCUGAUGUGAAAUACUACGGCUCAACUGUGGAACUGCAUUGGAAACUGGCGGACUAUGAGUGCAUGAGGGGUGAGCAGAAUUCCUGGUGUAGCGGUGGAAUGCGUAGAUAUCAGGAGGAAUACCGAUGGCGAAGGCGGCUCACUGGCAUGCUACUGACCCUCAGUGGACGAAAGCGUGGGGAUCAAACAGGAUUAGAUACCCUGGUAGUCCACGCUGUAAACGGUGCGCACUAGAUGUGGGCGGAACUGAUCCCGUCCGUGUCCAAGCUAACGCGUUAAGUGCGCCGCCUGGGGACUACGGCCGCAAGGCUAAA
RNAcentral lists this ribosomal RNA (378 nucleotides) under uncultured bacterium. RNAcentral's name for it is "bacterial SSU rRNA". It matches the Rfam family "Bacterial small subunit ribosomal RNA", at positions 524 to 898 of the family's 1533-position model. The record is from RNAcentral.